CAACCUGGCGGCGAGUGGCGAACGGGUGAGUAAUAUAUCGGAACGUACCCAAGAGUGGGGGAUAACGUAGCGAAAGUUACGCUAAUACCGCAUACGAUCUAAGGAUGAAAGCAGGGGAUCUUCGGACCUUGUGCUCCUGGAGCGGCCGAUAUCUGAUUAGCUAGUUGGUGAGGUAAAGGCUCACCAAGGCCACGAUCAGUAGCUGGUCUGAGAGGACGACCAGCCACACUGGAACUGAGACACGGUCCAGACUCCUACGGGAGGCAGCAGUGGGGAAUUUUGGACAAUGGGCGAAAGCCUGAUCCAGCAAUGCCGCGUGAGUGAAGAAGGCCUUCGGGUUGUAAAGCUCUUUUGUCAGGGAAGAAACGGUGAGGGCUAAUAUCCUUCGCUAAUGACGGUACCUGAAGAAUAAGCACCGGCUAACUACGUGCCAGCAGCCGCGGUAAUACGUAGGGUGCAAGCGUUAAUCGGAAUUACUGGGCGUAAAGCGUGCGCAGGCGGUUUUGUAAGUCUGACGUGAAAUCCCCGGGCUCAACCUGGGAAUUGCGUUGGAGACUGCAAGGCUAGAAUCUGGCAGAGGGGGGUAGAAUUCCACGUGUAGCAGUGAAAUGCGUAGAGAUGUGGAGGAACACCGAUGGCGAAGGCAGCCCCCUGGGUCAAGAUUGACGCUCAUGCACGAAAGCGUGGGGAGCAAACAGGAUUAGAUACCCUGGUAGUCCACGCCCUAAACGAUGUCUACUAGUUGUCGGGUUUUAAUUAACUUGGUAACGCAGCUAACGCGUGAAGUAGACCGCCUGGGGAGUACGGUCGCAAGAUUAAAACUCAAAGGAAUUGACGGGGACCCGCACAAGCGGUGGAUGAUGUGGAUUAAUUCGAUGCAACGCGAAAAACCUUACCUACCCUUGACAUGUACGGAAGACCGAAGAGAUUUGGUUGUGCUCGAAAGA
This 947-nucleotide ribosomal RNA is filed under the name bacterium. RNAcentral describes it as "bacterial SSU rRNA". It matches the Rfam family "Bacterial small subunit ribosomal RNA", at positions 81 to 1025 of the family's 1533-position model. The record is from RNAcentral.